Long non-coding RNA from Clupea harengus (Atlantic herring), 1666 nucleotides. The record is from Ensembl. Lineage: Eukaryota; Metazoa; Chordata; Actinopteri; Clupeiformes; Clupeidae.
CACACACACUCCUGGCGGGUUGUCCGCCUGCCCUGGUGUUACUGCCUGUCGCUGUAAGUAUGAGCUCUUGGGAAAAGAAGCACUUCUUUAGAUGCAUGAUAACAAAGACUGGGAAAGGGAAUAUGUUUCCCUUAUAAAUGAUUUGUGUUACAUACAUACAUUAUCUCCACUGUUUUAGAAUACGACAUACAGCAAAGAGAGUGGCUACAGCAGGCUACAUCUCACACACAGGUGCUGGACCAAAAGUAAGUUCAGACAUACAUACAAUACAUACAUACAAACAUACGUACAUCACAUACAUUAUAAACUAAUAACACACUUUUCUAGAGCACAUUACAGUGUGUGGACCCUCUGUUUUCAGCCGGAACAUGACAUACACCCCGCAGUGAUCAGGGGAUUGAGGGAUUCAUCCUCAGGAAAUCUUCAAAAGAAUGACUCAUGGGUUACAGAGGGCCACAUGCCCGAUGCAGGCUUUCAGUCCGAUCUGACACAACACAAGGCUUCGGGCAGGUUUCCCUGUGCAGGUAAGUGAGUGUUUGACAGUUCAGUGUUCAAUCAAACUGGUUAGGGCAGAAAUGUUGGUGCACACACAGGCUGGAAGCUGACAGGGUGAGUGACAGUACAAACAUAUCCUUUCAAACUGGCUUAAACCUUGGAUAAAUAGCCCAUGGUGUGUUCCAUGCACAUCUUUAUUCUCAGUAUUUUUAGUGAAUGCUAAACAACCUUUUUUCCCCUGAGACUUUGCAAUCAAACACAGAAGGCUGAUUGUUAAAGAACUAAUACUGGAUACAUCUCAUGUGAGCCCACAUGACUGUUGCAGUGUUUUGACAUAGAUUUAUUCCCAUAUCCAUAGGUUUAAGUUUAAUUGUGUCAUCCGCUUGCUACCAUCUUUACAUCAAAAACAGGGAUUUGUUGUGAUUUGAGGAAGAGUUUUUGUUUUUGUGACCAAACUUCAUAUUCACAAUCGCUGUUGAGUUCCAUUACUCCUAAUCUGUCUGAUAAUUCUUUUUUUUUUUGGCUGAAGAAAGUAUCUCCUACAACCUACUGCUAGAGUACCCACUACACCCUCUAACCCCUGUCCAUUUUUAAACACACAGUCAGAAGACUGCUACUGCAGUCUGUUCCUGCUAAUAGUUUUUAAGACCACAAUCUUACACAACUCGUAAAAUAUCAUAAACACAAGGAGGCUGGGUAAAUAAAAUGAGUCAGACAAUACAUCAUUGUAAUUGAAGUCGUUAAAAAAUGCAGUUUUCCUUGUACUCUUAAGUUAAAGAUGGUCGUUACCCGGAGAGAAGAGGUUGUUUAUAAGAUGGCCGACAGUUGACUGAUGUGCCACAAGUGUGGACAGAUGUGAAGAUGUAAGCUUUGUUGGGGGAAGGUUUUGCUUUAAUACGCAUAGAGAUGUCCUAAACCGCUCUCCAACUAAUGGAAGUAUACAGACAACAGUGCUUAACAGCCUAGUAAAAAGCAAGACAGUUGCACUUUUUACCACAGUGGUGACAAACAUAUUAUCUUUACAUAAGACACAGUUGUUGCCAGUAGUUCUCCGGUUUCAAAAUCUCAACCCUCACAAGUUUUGGCCGAAGGUCAGGUUUGAACUUUUGCUCAGAUAACUUUCAUUGCUCACUUAAUUAUCUAGACUAAAUUCUUAACAUUGACAAACAAC